GACGAACGCUGGCGGCGUGCUUAACACAUGCAAGUCGAACGGAAAGGCCCUGCUUUUGUGGGGUGCUCGAGUGGCGAACGGGUGAGUAACACGUGAGUAACCUGCCCUUGACUUUGGGAUAACUUCAGGAAACUGGGGCUAAUACCGGAUAGGAGCUCCUGCUGCAUGGUGGGGGUUGGAAAGUUUCGGCGGUUGGGGAUGGACUCGCGGCUUAUCAGCUUGUUGGUGGGGUAGUGGCUUACCAAGGCUUUGACGGGUAGCCGGCCUGAGAGGGUGACCGGCCACAUUGGGACGGAGAUACGGCCCAGACUCCUACGGGAGGCAGCAGUGGGGAAUAUUGCACAAUGGGCGGAAGCCGGAUGCAGCAACGCCGCGUGCGGGAUGACGGCCUUCGGGUGGUAAACCGCUUUCGCCUGUGACGAAGCGUGAGUGACGGUAAUGGGUAAAGAAGCACCGGCUAACUACGU
Molecule: ribosomal RNA, 467 nt
Filed under: uncultured bacterium
Lineage: Bacteria
Description: partial 16S ribosomal RNA
Rfam family: Bacterial small subunit ribosomal RNA
Source: RNAcentral